Molecule: long non-coding RNA, 209 nt
Filed under: Ananas comosus (pineapple)
Lineage: Eukaryota; Viridiplantae; Streptophyta; Magnoliopsida; Poales; Bromeliaceae
Description: long non-coding RNA (ACOM_LNC022668)
Source: RNAcentral
CAAGCUACAUACUUCAUUCAUUAAGCAAAAUGAAUUUAGCGUACAAUGUAGAGACAGCUAGGGCCUCCUAAAGGAACCGGAGAAACGCAACAAAAGAAACGCAACAAAACAAAACAAAAGAAACGCAACAAAAGAAAACAACAAUAGGAAGACAAAACAAGGAUGCGAUCACGCAGAAAGAAGACGAAGGAAAAGCGGCAGGAAUGCCC